RNAcentral lists this ribosomal RNA (499 nucleotides) under uncultured bacterium. RNAcentral describes it as "bacterial SSU rRNA". It matches the Rfam family "Bacterial small subunit ribosomal RNA", at positions 900 to 1398 of the family's 1533-position model. The record is from RNAcentral.
CUCAAAGGAAUUGACGGGGGCCCGCACAAGCGGUGGAGCAUGUGGUUCAAUUGAAGCAACGCGCAGAGCCUUACCAGCCCUUGACAUCCCGGUCGCGGAGAGCAGAGACGCACUCCUUCAGUUCGGCUGGACCGGAGACAGGUGCUGCAUGGCUGUCGUCAGCUCGUGUCGUGAGAUGUUGGGUUAAGUCCCGCAACGAGCGCAACCCUCGCCCUUAGUUGCCAUCAUUCAGUUGGGCACUCUAAGGGGACUGCCGGCGAUAAGCCGGAGGAAGGUGGGGAUGACGUCAAGUCCUCAUGGCCCUUACGGGCUGGGCUACACACGUGCUACAAUGGCGGUGACAGAGGGAUGCAAAGGGGCGACCCUUCGCAAAUCUCAAAAAGCCGUCUCAGUUCGGAUUGGGGUCUGCAACUCGACCCCAUGAAGUUGGAAUCGCUAGUAAUCGCAGAUCAGCACGCUGCGGUGAAUACGUUCCCGGGCCUUGUACUCACCGCCCGUC